CUUCGGGGCGGGGUGAAAUUCCCCACCGGCUGUGUUUGCGAAGGCAUAAGUCAGCGAGCCGUAAGGCAUGACAUGGUGAGAUUCCAUGACCGACAGUAUAGUCUGGAUGUGAGAAGAA
Molecule: non-coding RNA, 118 nt
Filed under: uncultured Eubacterium sp.
Lineage: Bacteria; Bacillati; Bacillota; Clostridia; Eubacteriales; Eubacteriaceae
Description: FMN riboswitch (RFN element)
Rfam family: FMN riboswitch aptamer (RFN element)
About the family: The RFN element is a highly conserved domain that is found frequently in the 5'-untranslated regions of prokaryotic mRNAs that encode for flavin mononucleotide (FMN) biosynthesis and transport proteins. This element is a metabolite-dependent riboswitch that directly binds FMN in the absence of proteins. In Bacillus subtilis, the riboswitch most likely controls gene expression by causing premature transcription termination within the 5' untranslated region of the ribDEAHT operon and precluding access to the ribosome-binding site of ypaA mRNA.
Source: RNAcentral